RNAcentral lists this ribosomal RNA (501 nucleotides) under uncultured bacterium. Its description in RNAcentral is "bacterial SSU rRNA". It matches the Rfam family "Bacterial small subunit ribosomal RNA", at positions 154 to 670 of the family's 1533-position model. The record is from RNAcentral.
AAAUGAAUGCUAAUACCUGAUAUUAUGAUUUUAAGGCAUCUUAGAAUUAUGAAAGCUAUAAGCACUGUGAGAGAGCUUUGCGUCCCAUUAGCUAGUUGGAGAGGUAACAGCUCACCAAGGCGAUGAUGGGUAGCCGGCCUGAGAGGGUGAACGGCCACAAGGGGACUGAGACACGGCCCUUACUCCUACGGGAGGCAGCAGUGGGGAAUAUUGGACAAUGGACCGAGAGUCUGAUCCAGCAAUUCUGUGUGCACGAUGAAGUUUUUCGGAAUGUAAAGUGCUUUCAGUUGGGAAGAAAAAAUGACGGUACCAACAGAAGAAGUGACGGCUAAAUACGUGCCAGCAGCCGCGGUAAUACGUAUGUCACGAGCGUUAUCCGGAUUUAUUGGGCGUAAAGCGCGUCUAGGUGGUUAUGUAAGUCUGAUGUGAAAAUGCAGGGCUCAACUCUGUAUUGCGUUGGAAACUGUAUAACUAGAGUACUGGAGAGGUAAGCGGAACUAC